AGCCCUGAAAAUGGAUGGCGCUGUAGCGUCGUGCCUAUACUCUGCCGUCAACGGCAAAGCGGGCGGCCCCUCACGGGGCGGCGCCGUUAAGCCUUGACGAGUAGGAGGGUCGCGGCGGUGUGCGCGGAAGGGUCUGGGCGUGAGCCCGCCUGGAGCCGCCGUCGGUGCAGAUCUUGGUGGUAGUAGCAAAUACUCCAGCGAGGCCCUGGAGGACUGAUGUGGAGAAGGGUUUCUUGUGAACAGCUGUUGCACAAGAGUCAGUCGAUCCUAAGCCCUAGGAGAAAUCCGAAGCGAUGGUCUGCCGUUAAA
Molecule: ribosomal RNA, 309 nt
Filed under: Acanthocephala femorata
Lineage: Eukaryota; Metazoa; Arthropoda; Insecta; Hemiptera; Coreidae
Description: partial large subunit ribosomal RNA
Rfam family: Eukaryotic large subunit ribosomal RNA
Source: RNAcentral